CCUACGGGUGGCAGCAGUGGGGAAUAUUGCGCAAUGGGCGAAAGCCUGACGCAGCGACGCCGCGUGAGGGACGACGGCCUUCGGGUUGUAAACCUCUUUCAGCAGGGACGAAGGGCAACUGACGGUACCUGCAGAAGAAGCACCGGCUAACUACGUGCCAGCAGCCGCGGUAAUACGUAGGGUGCAAGCGUUGUCCGGAUUUAUUGGGCGUAAAGAGCUCGUAGGCGGCCUGUCACGUCGGAUGUGAAAACCCGGGGCUCAACCCCGGGCCUGCAUUCGAUACGGGCAGGCUAGAGGAUGGUAGGGGAGACUGGAAUUCCUGGUGUAGCGGUGAAAUGCGCAGAUAUCAGGAGGAACACCGGUGGCGAAGGCGGGUCUCUGGGCCAUUCCUGACGCUGAGGAGCGAAAGCGUGGGGAGCGAACAGGAUUAGAUACCCCAGUAGUC
Molecule: ribosomal RNA, 445 nt
Filed under: uncultured bacterium
Lineage: Bacteria
Description: bacterial SSU rRNA
Rfam family: Bacterial small subunit ribosomal RNA
Source: RNAcentral